CUGAGUUUAUACAAACUCCCAAACCCACUGUGAACCUUACCUCUUGUUGCUUCGGUGGGACAGCCCCGGGCCCCUUUGGAGGCCCGGAACCAGGCUCCCGCCGGAGGCCCCCAAUACUCUUGUGUUUCCUCCCGUCUGGGAUGUAUUCUGAGUGGCCCAUAGCGGGCAGAAAACAAUCAAAUGAAUCA
This 188-nucleotide unclassified non-coding RNA is filed under the name uncultured Hypocreales. Its description in RNAcentral is "sequence contains ITS1". Lineage: Eukaryota; Fungi; Ascomycota; Sordariomycetes; Hypocreales. The record is from RNAcentral.